GGGUUAGUAACUUAAUUGGCAAAGGAUUUUCUUGUCGAGAAAAUAGAUAUCGGAUCGUAGCCGAUUUAACCCG
Molecule: transfer RNA, 73 nt
Organism: Trichophyton rubrum CBS 118892
Lineage: Eukaryota; Fungi; Ascomycota; Eurotiomycetes; Onygenales; Arthrodermataceae
Rfam family: tRNA
About the family: Transfer RNA (tRNA) molecules are approximately 80 nucleotides in length. Their secondary structure includes four short double-helical elements and three loops (D, anti-codon, and T loops).
Source: Rfam